UCGAGAAUUUUUCUCAAUGGGGGAAACCCUGAAGGAGCGACGCCGCGUGGAGGAUGAAGGUCUUCGGAUUGUAAACUCCUGUCAUUUGGGAACAAUUGUCACCGAUUAACUGUCGGGGGCUUGAUAGUACCAGAAGAGGAAGAGACGGCUAACUCUGUGCCAGCAGCCGCGGUAAUACAGAGGUCUCAAGCGUUGUUCGGAUUCAUUGGGCGUAAAGGGUGCGUAGGUGGCGGGGUAAGUCUGGUGUGAAAUCUCGGGGCUCAACCCCGAAACUGCACUGGAUACUGCCUUGCUCGAGUACUGGAGAGGAGAUUGGAAUUUACGGUGUAGCAGUGAAAUGCGUAGAUAUCGUAAGGAAGACCAGUGGCGAAGGCGAAUCUCUGGACAGUUACUGACACUGAGGCACGAAGGCCAGGGGAGCAAACGGGGAUUAGGAUACCCCGGUAGUCCUGGCAGUAAACGGUGCGCGUUUGGUGUGGGAGGAUUCGA
Molecule: ribosomal RNA, 489 nt
Filed under: uncultured Verrucomicrobiota bacterium
Lineage: Bacteria; Pseudomonadati; Verrucomicrobiota
Description: bacterial SSU rRNA
Rfam family: Bacterial small subunit ribosomal RNA
Source: RNAcentral